RNAcentral lists this transfer RNA (74 nucleotides) under Enterococcus faecium. Its description in RNAcentral is "tRNA-Ile". It matches the Rfam family "tRNA". From Rfam's summary of the family: Transfer RNA (tRNA) molecules are approximately 80 nucleotides in length. Their secondary structure includes four short double-helical elements and three loops (D, anti-codon, and T loops). Further hydrogen bonds mediate the characteristic L-shaped molecular structure. tRNAs have two regions of fundamental functional importance: the anti-codon, which is responsible for specific mRNA codon recognition, and the 3' end, to which the tRNAs corresponding amino acid is attached (by aminoacyl-tRNA synthetases). tRNAs cope with the degeneracy of the genetic code in two manners: having more than one tRNA (with a specific anti-codon) for a particular amino acid; and 'wobble' base-pairing, i.e. permitting non-standard base-pairing at the 3rd anti-codon position. RNAcentral also lists the same sequence under 1 other name. Lineage: Bacteria; Bacillati; Bacillota; Bacilli; Lactobacillales; Enterococcaceae. The record is from RNAcentral.
GUACCCUUAGCUCAGUUGGUUAGAGCAGACGGCUCAUAACCUUCCGGUCGUAGGUUCGAGUCCUACAGGGUACA